AGAGUUUGAUCAUGGCUCAGAACGAACGCUGGCGGCGUGGAUAAGACAUGCAAGUCGAGCGCUGAUUACGAGGUAGCAAUAUUUCGUGGUCGGAGCGGCGCAAGGGUGCGUAACACGUGGGUAAUCUGCCAUGAAGUUUGGAAUAACUUGCUGAAAGGCGAGCUAAUACCGGAUGUGACCGUUGGGAGGCAUCUCCCGAUAGUUAAAGUUGGGGACCGUAAGGCCUGACGCUUCAUGAUGAGCCCGCGGCCUAUCAGCUAGUUGGUGAGGUAACGGCUCACCAAGGCUAAGACGGGUAGCUGGUCUGAGAGGACGACCAGCCACACUGGAACUGAGACACGGUCCAGACACCUACGGGUGGCAGCAGUCGAGAAUUUUUCACAAUGGGCGAAAGCCUGAUGGAGCGACGCCGCGUGGGGGAUGAAUGGCUUCGGCCCGUAAACCCCUGUCAUUCGCGAUCAAACCUUGCUAUUUAAAAGAUGGCGAGCUGAUAGUAGCGGAAGAGGAAGGGACGGCUAACUCUGUGCCAGCAGCCGCGGUAAUACAGAGGUCCCAAGCGUUGUUCGGAUUCACUGGGCGUAAAGGGUGCGUAGGUGGUGAGGUAAGUCGGAUGUGAAAUCUCGGAGCUCAACUCCGAAAUGGCAUUGGAAACUACCUUGCUCGAGGGUUGGAGGGGGGACUGGAAUACUUGGUGUAGCAGUGAAAUGCGUAGAUAUCAAGUGGAACACCAGUGGCGAAGGCGAGUCCCUGGACAACUCCUGACACUGAGGCACGAAAGCUAGGGGAGCAAACAGGAUUAGAUACCCCGGUAGUCC
This 815-nucleotide ribosomal RNA is filed under the name uncultured bacterium. Its description in RNAcentral is "bacterial SSU rRNA". It matches the Rfam family "Bacterial small subunit ribosomal RNA", at positions 8 to 796 of the family's 1533-position model. The record is from RNAcentral.